This 581-nucleotide long non-coding RNA is filed under the name Salvia miltiorrhiza (redroot sage). RNAcentral's name for it is "long non-coding RNA (SMIL_LNC007906)". The record is from RNAcentral. Lineage: Eukaryota; Viridiplantae; Streptophyta; Magnoliopsida; Lamiales; Lamiaceae.
UGGACGAUGCCUUUGAUGGCGUGGAACAUCGACUUCUGUAUCUCCUUGUCGGUUGGGAAGUACCACAUCAGAUCGCUCUCUCUCAUCUCCGGCAUGUCUGCUAGUAGCUUGAUUCUUUCCUCCUUCAGUGGACUCCCUGCGCGUACGCACCAAAUUAAUUAAUCCAAACCCUAACUUAAUAGACUUAAUUAAUUGAUUAAUUACCAUCUUGAUCGAUGUAUUUAGAUUGGAGAAGGUGCGGGAUCUUAAACCCUAGCGCCAAGCAUCCGGCGUUGGAGCACCAAAAUACGGCAGUCUUGAGGCCCAUCUUCUUAGGUAUUGCGAGCAUCCAGGCCAAGGCUGAAUCCACAAUGACGCCGCUUAUGCUCUGCGUUUUCUUCGUGAGGAGUUCCUCCAUGUAUGAGGGUAUGACUGUGUGGAUUCUGCCGUGCAGCUUCUUCUGAUCUUCCCAGCCGCCUCCCACUUGGAGGCCGCUGUGAAGUGAGAUGAUGCGCAUCCCUUCAUUCCACUCCGCGCUUUCUGCGUCAGCGCCUGCCUGUGCCUCUGGCAGACCCAUUGUCAGGAAUGUCACCUUCAUGCCC